GGGGAAUAUUGGACAAUGGGCGCAAGCCUGAUCCAGCCAUGCCGCGUGAGUGAUGAAGGCCUUAGGGUUGUAAAGCUCUUUCACCCGGGACGAUAAUGACGGUACCGGGAGAAGAAGCCCCGGCUAACUUCGUGCCAGCAGCCGCGGUAAUACGAAGGGGGCUAGCGUUGUUCGGAAUCACUGGGCGUAAAGCGCACGUAGGCGGACCGUUAAGUCGGAGGUGAAAUCCUGGGGCUCAACCCCAGAACUGCCUUCGAUACUGGCGGUCUCGAGUCCGGAAGAGGUGAGUGGAACUGCCAGUGUAGAGGUGAAAUUCGUAGAUAUUGGCAAGAACACCAGUGGCGAAGGCGGCUCACUGGUCCGGUACUGACGCUGAGGUGCGAAAGCGUGGGGAGCAAAC
RNAcentral lists this ribosomal RNA (400 nucleotides) under uncultured bacterium. Its description in RNAcentral is "bacterial SSU rRNA". It matches the Rfam family "Bacterial small subunit ribosomal RNA", at positions 356 to 773 of the family's 1533-position model. The record is from RNAcentral.